AAACGAGGGACAGCUGAGAAAUAUAACAUUUGAAUCCCUUUUCUCUUUUGCUCUGAGGCGUGGGGGAAAAAUAUCGACAAGUCCAUGAAGAUCAUUUACUCAUAUAUUGGGUAAAUGCCCAAAACAUCUAUAGAAAUGUAAAUCGCCGCUUGAUUCAUUCAUUUGCUUAACUUGUUUUGGACCAUAAACAAGGCGCGAAUAGGACACCGGAAACAAAGCUCCACACAGGAGUUUUUGCACCGGAAGUAGCUGUCAGGGUCCUGGGUCUGAGCGACCCAGGAUCCAUGAGCAGUUAUGGCCUAAUAUUAUAAUAUAUAUUUUGUAUUGCUGUCCCUGGUUCUCCCUGCUUGUAUGUGUGUGUGUGUGUCUGAGCACUCGUUUAUAGGCGCCUUCAGGCCUGGUGGGUGUGGCCCUGGCCACACCCAAAGCCACACACCUGCUCCUGAUCAGGCCUCGUCGGGGGAGCUACUUAAGAGAGUCUUGGAGCUCCCACCGACGUGGGAUCAUUGCGUGAGACUCCACGAGGAGCGUGGGAGGCCUGAAGAGCAGCGAGCACCGGGAGUGCAGACACGGGAGCAGAGAGCACAAGGAGGACACGACACGGGAGUCUUGGGAAACACGGGGAUUUACUGUUGUUUUGCACCAUACACUGUAAAUAAACGCACUGUUCGCACACAGA
Long non-coding RNA from Oreochromis niloticus (Nile tilapia), 679 nucleotides. RefSeq lists it as uncharacterized. The record is from RefSeq and is a predicted model, not a curated record. The transcript is spliced from 2 exons. Lineage: Eukaryota; Metazoa; Chordata; Actinopteri; Cichliformes; Cichlidae.